GAGUCUGCACCAUGGCCUGGACCACACUCCUCCUCCUCACUCUCCUCCUCCACUGCACAGGGUCUCUCUCCCAGCCUGUGCUGACUCAAUCAUCCUCUGCCUCUGCUUCCCUGGGAUCCUCGGUCAAGCUCACCUGCACUCUGAGUAGUGGGCACAGUAGCUACGCCAUCGCAUGGCAUCAGCAGCAGCCAGGGAAGGCCCCUCGGUACUUGAUGAGGCUUGAAGGUAGUGGAAGCUACAACAAGGGGAGCGGAAUUCCUGAUCGCUUCUCAGGCUCCAGCUCUGGGGCUGACCGCUACCUCACCAUCUCCAACCUCCAGUCUGAGGAUGAGGCUGAUUAUUACUGUCAGACCUGGGAUAGCAACACUCACACAGUGAUACAGGCAGAUGAGGAAGUGGGACAAAAACAGCCUGCUUAG
Molecule: non-coding RNA, 419 nt
Organism: Pongo pygmaeus (Bornean orangutan)
Lineage: Eukaryota; Metazoa; Chordata; Mammalia; Primates; Hominidae
Source: the annotation of a RefSeq genome assembly